Molecule: long non-coding RNA, 1669 nt
Organism: Homo sapiens (human)
Lineage: Eukaryota; Metazoa; Chordata; Mammalia; Primates; Hominidae
Exons: 2
Source: RefSeq, a predicted model, not a curated record
GAGCGACUGACUCUGGUUGACUGGCGGGUGGCUUUUGUUAGUUUCAGGCAGAUUUCAAGACUUGUUUCUCAAAAUGUCCUGCAAUUUUGGCUUCCGCGGCAGUUUGUGAGAUGGGGCCACAAUUCUUGAUUGAUGAUAGGAAAGUAGAGAAGGAGAGAUGAUUCGUCUAUGAGUCAACAUUGUCGAUAGCUAGAGUCUUGGUAUUCCCAUAGCUUCCUUGGUUAUUUUGUUUCCAAAUUUGCACACCCAGGAACCAAAUCUCAAUGAUCCUUUUGUUGCUGAAGGUUCAUCCUCUCCUGUUCCAUCUGUCCGCCAUAAACACAUAAUUCUGACUGCCCCAUUCCUAAUCCAUUUCUUUCCUUUGGAAUGGGAAGAAGGAAAUGAAAAGUACUCCCAGAUGGAAACCGAAACGGCGUCAGAUCCAGAAUAGUCUUUGUUUGGAUUCAACAGCUGUCUGCCCACCACGCCCUCAGUCCCCAAGUCCAAAGCGCAUCCUCGGGGUUUCAUUUGAGAAAGGGAGAAAAAAGAAACACUUCAAAAUCUGUAUUUUUACAAGCAGGAUUUCACAAUCCUUGGGAACUUUGAGACUUGAAUGGUUAAUCUCUCAGACGAAAUUAUCACCCCAACGACUGUUCACAGAUUAGUCGAUGCAAAUGUUAAAAACGUGUUGGCAAGCUGGAUGAGCAGGCAAACGCACAUAAGGGUCCCCAGAUGCAGCGAAUGAACAGGUUUUCCUCGUAAAAAUGAUGGAGGUGAAGGUGGGGAUGGGGGUGCUCUCCUCACUCCGGAAUCUGAAGCGGGAGAGAGCUGGAUAAACCGCCGAGAUGACCUAAGUGGUCUGAGGCGACCAGCAGCGCGUCCACAGUGGAGGACCCAGGCCUCGGCUCAGACAUGGCCUGCUCCGCUCUUUCCCUAGGCUCCUCUGCAACAUCAGGCAACCAAGGCCUGCGCUCUCCUUUUCCUGAGGAGACUCCCUGGAACCUUCAAGAACCCCCCGACAGCCACCAGGAUACCCGGUCUGAAUGGUUUCCUACCAAGAAAGACCCCGAAGACCUGCAGUUCUGUCCAGAAACGAGUUUUUAGGGUCACUUGAAUUUGAGCUGCUGCGAGGGCGGUGCUUUAGGGAGCAGAGUUCAAAGAGGAAUUCCUCAGGACCCUAGGCCAGGUCCGCGUUAAAGGGCGCCUUACAAACCUCCUCUCCCCACACUCCCCCGCAGCCCCUUCCCCAACGUUUAAGGCACCGGAUCUUGAGAAGCAAAUCUAGUGCCCAGCUUCAAAUCCCCGCCUUGGAAAAGUACAAAGAGAAAACUGAUUUUUCAAAUCCCAAAGCCCUUUCCUUUUAAGCAACUUGGAAAAACUCAGCUAUAAACGCUUUCUCCUCUUAUGCUAAAAUUGAAAACUUAUAGAUUUUAGAUGGAAUGAAGAGAAGAUAUAUUCCUUUUCCCUUUAAAUAGCCACAUUUCAAAUUGUGCCAGGCAGCAAUUUCUGCGAAAAAGGAGUGGCGGUUGGGAUUGUUUGGGAGAUGGAGUUUUAUUUGUUCCCAUUUAUUUUGUUUUAUUUUUGUUUUAUUUUUUUCUUUGAGUUUCUUUGUUAUUUUGAGAUUCAUCUAAGAGACUCAGAAUUCCACUCUGAAUAAAGCACUUUUUGUUGUUUCAAAAUUUCAAACUGA